UGGGAAUUCUCUCCUACGACGGGGUGAGAUAUCGUUCCGGGGACGUUCACCCGGCGGACUGAGGAAACGCUGGUCUGGACAGCGGCACCGGCUCCCUUCUGGGGGCGGGACCAACGGAAAACACCCCGGAGGACGCAGUGAAGUGAGAUGUGGGCUUCGAAGGGAUGACU
Molecule: long non-coding RNA, 170 nt
Organism: Lemur catta (Ring-tailed lemur)
Lineage: Eukaryota; Metazoa; Chordata; Mammalia; Primates; Lemuridae
Exons: 3
Source: RefSeq, a predicted model, not a curated record